Molecule: ribosomal RNA, 667 nt
Filed under: Escherichia coli
Lineage: Bacteria; Pseudomonadati; Pseudomonadota; Gammaproteobacteria; Enterobacterales; Enterobacteriaceae
Description: bacterial SSU rRNA
Rfam family: Bacterial small subunit ribosomal RNA
Source: RNAcentral
UUAAAUUGAAGAGUUUGAUCAUGGCUCAGAUUGAACGCUGGCGGCAGGCCUAACACAUGCAAGUCGAACGGUAACAGGAAGCAGCUUGCUGCUUUGCUGACGAGUGGCGGACGGGUGAGUAAUGUCUGGGAAACUGCCCGAUGGAGGGGGAUAACUACUGGAAACGGUAGCUAAUACCGCAUAACGUCGCAAGACCAAAGAGGGGGACCUUCGGGCCUCUUGCCAUCGGAUGUGCCCAGAUGGGAUUAGCUAGUAGGUGGGGUAAAGGCUCACCUAGGCGACGAUCCCUAGCUGGUCUGAGAGGAUGACCAGCCACACUGGAACUGAGACACGGUCCAGACUCCUACGGGAGGCAGCAGUGGGGAAUAUUGCACAAUGGGCGCAAGCCUGAUGCAGCCAUGCCGCGUGUAUGAAGAAGGCCUUCGGGUUGUAAAGUACUUUCAGCGGGGAGGAAGGGAGUAAAGUUAAUACCUUUGCUCAUUGACGUUACCCGCAGAAGAAGCACCGGCUAACUCCGUGCCAGCAGCCGCGGUAAUACGGAGGGUGCAAGCGUUAAUCGGAAUUACUGGGCGUAAAGCGCACGCAGGCGGUUUGUUAAGUCAGAUGUGAAAUCCCCGGGCUCAACCUGGGAACUGCAUCUGAUACUGGCAAGCUUGAGUCUCGUAGA